Molecule: long non-coding RNA, 191 nt
Organism: Scomber scombrus (Atlantic mackerel)
Lineage: Eukaryota; Metazoa; Chordata; Actinopteri; Scombriformes; Scombridae
Exons: 4
Source: RefSeq, a predicted model, not a curated record
GGAAGACUCAGUAUGAAGCUGUCAUCCGUUGUCAAAGCUUUAGGAUCUCUGUGCCUGCUGCUUGCAGAUGGAUCUCCAGUUUUAGGAAAAGCUCCACAGAUAAUUGGGCCACAUAACACGCAUGUCAAAGCUAAACCAGGAGAGGUACUGUUGCUUCACUGUGACGCCUGUACAGAUUCUGAAGAUAUAAC